Molecule: ribosomal RNA, 251 nt
Filed under: uncultured bacterium
Lineage: Bacteria
Description: partial 16S ribosomal RNA
Rfam family: Bacterial small subunit ribosomal RNA
Source: RNAcentral
GGCGAACGCUGGCGGCAGGCUUAACACAUGCAAGUCGAGCGCCGUAGCAAUACGGAGCGGCAGACGGGUGAGUAACACGUGGGAACGUACCUUUGGUUCGGAACAACACAGGGAAACGUUGUGCUAAUACCGGAUAAGCCCUUACGGGGAAAGAUUAUCGCCGAAAGAUCGGCCCGCGUCUGAUUAGCUGUUGGUGAGGUAACGGCUCACCAAGGCGACGAUCAGUAGCUGGUCUGAGAGGAUGAUCAGCC